This 95-nucleotide transfer RNA is filed under the name Actinomadura macrotermitis. RNAcentral's name for it is "Actinomadura sp. RB68 tRNA-Ser". Lineage: Bacteria; Bacillati; Actinomycetota; Actinomycetes; Streptosporangiales; Thermomonosporaceae. The record is from RNAcentral.
GGCGGUGCUGGUCCGACAUGGCGGCCUGGCCGGCCUGGAACGCCGGCAUCGAGCGGAUCGAGGCCGACGGCCCGUUCGCGCCCGGCACCCGCUUC